GGAAGUAAAAGUCGUAACAAGGUCUCCGUUGGUGAACCAGCGGAGGGAUCAUUACCGAGUUUACAACUCCCAAACCCAAUGUGAACGUUACCAAACUGUUGCCUCGGCGGGAUCUCUGCCCCGGGUGCGUCGCAGCCCCGGACCAAGGCGCCCGCCGGAGGACCAACCAAAAACUCUUUUGUAUACCCCCUCGCGGGUUUUUAUAUCUGAGCCAUCUCGGCGCCUCUCGUAGGCGUUUCGAAAAUGAAUCAAAACUUUCAACAACGGAUCUCUUGGUUCUGGCAUCGAUGAAGAACGCAGCGAAAUGCGAUAAGUAAUGUGAAUUGCAGAAUUCAGUGAAUCAUCGAAUCUUUGAACGCACAUUGCGCCCGCCAGUAUUCUGGCGGGCAUGCCUGUCCGAGCGUCAUUUCAACCCUCGAACCCCUCCGGGGGGUCGGCGUUGGGGAUCGGCCCUUUACGGGGCCGGCCCCGAAAUACAGUGGCGGUCUCGCCGCAGCCUCUCCUGCGCAGUAGUUUGCACACUCGCAUCGGGAGCGCGGCGCGUCCAUUGCCGUAAAACACCCAACUUUCUGAAAUGUUGACCUCGGAUCAGGUAGGAAUACCCGCUGAACUUAAGCAUAUCAAUAAGCGGAGGA
RNAcentral lists this ribosomal RNA (635 nucleotides) under Trichoderma spirale. RNAcentral's name for it is "eukaryotic LSU rRNA". The stretch from base 253 to 406 matches the Rfam family "5.8S ribosomal RNA". Lineage: Eukaryota; Fungi; Ascomycota; Sordariomycetes; Hypocreales; Hypocreaceae. The record is from RNAcentral.